UUACCUACAUUUUUACUUGCUAUUUUCCAGGGUCCUGGAUAAGCAACAGUCUACUACACUCUGUGGUAUUUGAGAGUUCCCCAAAUCAGGCAGCUAUCAAAUGCCUCCAUUUAAAAAGACCUUAACUCCUUGUUUUUUUGACCCUGCAAAUGCCCUCACCUAUCUAAGAUAUUCUAAGAUAUGUACCUCUUAGAAUAUCUUAGUGACCGAUCUAUUUAAGAUGGUGACUGUGGAAAUAGAAAUCACCUCCACCCUGGAUCUCCCACUUUCAGAAGAGGAGAAAACAGAAUCUAAUCAUGAAGUUGUUAUCCCAGAACACUGUAUUAAACAUCCUCUACAGAACAGAUGGUGCUCCAGCAAGUACACAUAAACUCGGACAGUUAAGAAAAAAAAUGAAAGUAGAAAACCAGUGGCAUGCUGCUGUGCAAUACUGAGUCACAUGCGAGGCCCAGGUUCAGAUCUUGAAUCAACUCAAAUAUGCAAGGUACAAGUGCCCUCUGACAAAAAAACAAAAACCCAAAAGUCGUAAGGUACGUUGGAACACAAAAGUCUCGCAUUUCACUCCACUGCAAGAAAAAAGAUGAUCUAUCCAUGAAAUAUAAAACCCCACACCUGUACUGCUAAUAAAAACCUGUGUUGGGCAUGGUGUACUACUUUGCAGUGCUGGAGCCACCAGACCAGGAUUCCGACUCUGGGUUGACCUGAAACAAGCUAGAUGAAUUCACAUGUGUCUAUGAUCUUAAAUGGCUGGAAGGCUGGAGUGGGGCUGGAGAUGGAGGGCGGGUGGCGGUUGUGGCAUGUUGAGCCAUGAUGGAAGUGACUGUUUCCUUCACUCCCUUCCUCCCUCCCUUCUGCUCUCUUGGUCAAAU
Tupaia belangeri chinensis (Chinese tree shrew) is the source of this 869-nucleotide long non-coding RNA. RefSeq lists it as uncharacterized. NCBI's taxonomy places the organism in Eukaryota, Metazoa, Chordata, Mammalia, Scandentia, Tupaiidae. The record is from RefSeq and is a predicted model, not a curated record. The transcript is spliced from 3 exons.